Long non-coding RNA from Cryptomeria japonica (Japanese cedar), 306 nucleotides. RefSeq lists it as uncharacterized. The record is from RefSeq and is a predicted model, not a curated record. Lineage: Eukaryota; Viridiplantae; Streptophyta; Pinopsida; Cupressales; Cupressaceae. The transcript is spliced from 3 exons.
UAAUGCGGUAUUGGAGGUUUUGGGAAAAGCAAUAAGAUGAGAAUCUCGCCCAGAUAAAAAACAAAGGCUUGACAUAGGGGAGAUUGAGGUCUAAUCGUUCUAAUACAAGAAAAGUGAUUGAGUUCCAUGACAACUUUAAUGAGAAGAUUCUAAGAAAAAAUUUUGGUAGGAUUUUGGAAGAGUUUGGAGAAAAAAAACAAGAGCGAUAUGAAAGAAAGAAGAAAAGAGACUAGAGGAAGAAGCAGCCAUUCCAGAACGUUCAGGGACUUUUUAUUAGUUUCUAUUUACUAAAUUUAGACAGCAAAA